GGACAUCCGAUAAAAUUGGAACAAUACAGAGAAGAUUAGCAUGCCCCUGAGCAAGGAUGACAUGUACAAAUCGAGAAAUGGUCCAAAUAUUU
Molecule: small nuclear RNA, 92 nt
Filed under: Olea europaea subsp. europaea
Lineage: Eukaryota; Viridiplantae; Streptophyta; Magnoliopsida; Lamiales; Oleaceae
Source: RNAcentral